RNAcentral lists this ribosomal RNA (410 nucleotides) under uncultured microorganism. RNAcentral's name for it is "bacterial SSU rRNA". It matches the Rfam family "Bacterial small subunit ribosomal RNA", at positions 509 to 917 of the family's 1533-position model. The record is from RNAcentral.
CAGCCGCCGCGGUAAUACGGAGGGCGCGAGCGUUGUCCGGAUUCACUGGGCGUAAAGCGGGUGUAGGCGGCCCGUUAAGACAGGUGUGAAAUCCCUGGGCUCAACCUAGGAAUUGCGCUUGUGACUGGCGGGCUCGAGUACGGUAGAGGGGGGUGGAAUUCCUGGUGUAGCAGUGAAAUGCGUAGAGAUCAGGAGGACCACCGAUGGCGAAGGCAGCCCCCUGGGCCUGUACUGACGCUCAUGCACGAAAGCGUGGGGAGCAAACAGGAUUAGAUACCCUGGUAGUCCACGCCCUAAACGAUGGGUACUAGCCGUUUGGUGCGCGAUAGCGCUGAGUGGCGAAGCUAACGCGUGAAGUACCCCGCCUGGGGAGUACGGCCGCAAGGUUGAAACUUAAAGGAAUUGGCGGG